Mustela erminea (ermine) is the source of this 234-nucleotide long non-coding RNA. RefSeq lists it as uncharacterized. NCBI's taxonomy places the organism in Eukaryota, Metazoa, Chordata, Mammalia, Carnivora, Mustelidae. The transcript is spliced from 3 exons. The record is from RefSeq and is a predicted model, not a curated record.
GAAGGCAGACACUCAACCGACUCAGCCAACCAGAGAAGCUUGGGAAUGACCGGAGAAGAAAGGCAUGAGGUGUGAAAUGGAGGUGCUGAGUGAAAACAGAUCCCAAGAAGAACUUGCUGUGGUGGUGACCGGAUUGAAGAGACAGGUGGAACCAGGAGGAUGGUGCUUAUGGAAAGGGGUCCUUGCUGUCAGCAACAGAACACUUUGGAUGACUCACUGGUUGGAUUCCCUAAG